UUUUGUGGAAGAAAGAAAUACAAGUUUUAUUUAUAAGAAUGAGAAUGACAUAAGCAGUUCAGUGAAUGGAGGAGAAAAAAGACCUAUUAUCACCUACAGACCAAUCCUUAAGGUUAACAUUGCAAAAUUUCAGUUACAUUAACAGGUAACCAAAUAACAGAUGCAUUUUCACAAAUAACACAUUUAUGCAUUUUACAUAUUAUUCAUGUACUUUCAAAUCAUUAUCCAUUCACAAUAUUUUAACGUGAUAUGUAUAUUAAAGACUCCUUUAUUCACUUGUGAGAAUGAUCAACUUAAUUCACUUGACUUCAGCAGACUAGUACAGGAAAGGUACUUACAAUAGGAAAUAUUUUCUGUAAAAAGAACUACAGGUCUGAAAAGUCAAUUAGCAUUUUAAGACUGUCCCCCCAGUAGAAAAGUGAGUGCGUUAAGUUUCACAAGUGGUUUAAGCUUUAGCAAUAAUAGAACUUCCAGAUAGUAAGCAAAUCAAAUACUCUAUACACACUCAACAAAACCUCCUUGUGCAUGUUUUGCUGAGCACAGACUGAAAGCUAAAAUUGCAAAGCACUGAGAGCAGUUUGGGGUUUGUUUGGCUUUUUUUUUUUCCUUUUUUUUCUUUUUUUCCUUAAACCAUUUAGAAAAAUAUUGGUCAAGGUAUAGUGCACAGCCAUGGGGCUGAGGGAAAGAGUUCCUAAAACUCCAUAGCACAAGCAGCAUUUUUGUUUUAGCGAAAUCCACCACAAAACGUCUGCCUUUCCUGAAAGGUUAAUGGCAGUUUCUGGAACAAAACAGAAAUACAUUUGCUGCUUAAUGAAUCAUCAUUAUAUGACUUUCAUUCUAAUGGACAUUAGAAUACUAACUAAUUGACUGAGGUAUAGUUAAGAGUCCUUCAAAGUUUAGAUUAUAUAGUCUUGAGCAAAGUAGCAACAGAGGCUGCACAAAACAAUCAUAGUGAUAUUAGAAAAGCCUGUAGUACCCAGCAUCUGAUGCGUAGGCAGAACAUACCAUUUAUCAUCACCCGCCUGUCUAAAGGAAAAUACAGCUAAAAAAAUUCCCAGUAAAACAUACAGCUGAUCUGCACGCUAGGAUACAGCACGUUUCUCAAUGUCUGACAAGGCAGACUGUACACAGAAACAGGUCUAUACUGACCAAAAGUUAGCACACCGAUAAAGUGCAGCCACUCAGCCAUUUAAUACUGCUGGAGAAGAGGGGUGAGGGCAAAACAGCAAAAAAAGAGAGAGAGAAAUCUGCAUUUUACCUUAUCCAUAAGACCACAUGAAAUUAGAAUUCUUCAGUUUCAGCAGGGGACAACAAAAUUGCAUUAAAGUCUUCUACAAAUAGAAAAAGAUGAACUUUACAUGAACAUUAAGCAACGUGAAAUAUUUACUGCAUUAUUUUAUCAUGCAUAAAGUGAGUUUCCUAUGGUCUUACCUCACAUUUAUGUACAGUUUAGCACAGCUAAAUGUAAGAAAAUAGCAAGGUUUUUUUCUCCCCACUCCC
This 1500-nucleotide long non-coding RNA is filed under the name Strigops habroptila (Kakapo). RNAcentral's name for it is "lncRNA (ENSSHBG00005017601.1)". The record is from RNAcentral. Lineage: Eukaryota; Metazoa; Chordata; Aves; Psittaciformes; Psittacidae.